This 457-nucleotide long non-coding RNA is filed under the name Trifolium pratense (red clover). Its description in RNAcentral is "long non-coding RNA (TPRA_LNC009596)". The record is from RNAcentral. Lineage: Eukaryota; Viridiplantae; Streptophyta; Magnoliopsida; Fabales; Fabaceae.
UAGAGUGUCAAAGAAAAUAAGAAACUCAUGUUGAGUAGAAGAAGCAGAAGUACAGACCAACAAAGCUACUAGCCUCAAAGUUUCAAUUUGAUUUCAAGAAGACAAGGAGGGACGAAUCACGAAAGAUGAAGAGGCGAGAUUGGUGACAACGCUAGCUUGAAAAUGCAAAUACAAUGAAAAAAGAGGAAGGGCGAAGUUGCCAAGAAACAAUGACAACAAUAUUCAAAGCCACAAAUGGCGUACAUCAAGAUAUUCAAAAGUCAUAGAAGGGCGUACAAAUUAUCUAAGAAAUAUCAACAACAAAAGGAAGGACAAGACGACAAGCACACAAAUAGUAUGAGUCAGCAACAAAUAGGCGACAUAGAACCACGCCGAGACAUAAUAAUCGCCAAGUUACUUCAUUCAAAAGCACUUCGCCUUCUUGAAGCCUCGUGCUUGGGGGGCUGUGUACCGGGCC